UUUAUAAAACCUCCAUAUCUGAGAUAUUAUAUUCACUGUUAUAUUCAGUUACUCAUAACAGAUCUGAUAUGAGCUGGGAAGAGAGUGACUCCGCUAGAGUCUGCUCAUGUUCUGAAACACAGGAACAGUGCUUUCUAUGAUAAUCCAUCAGAACACCCAAGACUUUUGAAGAUGGACGUGGUCUGCUAUCUACCAUUAUGUACUGCCUGCAUAAUUUCUCUGUUAGGGUCUUCAGGAGCCAUCACCGUACAGCAGUCUCCAUCUUCUCUCUUUGGAAAACUCAGUGAUCAUGUCCAGCUCACCUGCCAACAUGAUGAUAGCAACUAUAACAGAAUGUAUUGGUACCAGCAAGUUAAAGGAAAACAGUCAUUAGAGCUUGUUGGUUUCCUUAAUUACAACAAUGUCAACCAAGAUGAAAAGUAUGUAAGAAAAUUUAAUUUGACAGGAAAUGGAGAUAAGAAAGGCUCUUUGUUUAUCUCAACGUUAAAUGCUGAAGACAGUGGCACUUAUUUCUGUGCAGCAAGUAAGCACAGUGGUACAAGGUGUCUUGAACCUUUACGAAAAACCCACCUACCACUACUGCUGGCUACCUAAAAACUUUUCCUUCUCUGUGUAGCUGCAUUCACUGAUAUUUCCAAACAUAAUAAAACCUGGUGUUUAUUGUC
This is a long non-coding RNA of Anguilla anguilla (European eel), 665 nucleotides long. RefSeq lists it as uncharacterized. NCBI's taxonomy places the organism in Eukaryota, Metazoa, Chordata, Actinopteri, Anguilliformes, Anguillidae. The record is from RefSeq and is a predicted model, not a curated record. The transcript is spliced from 2 exons.